UGUUGAGCAGCCAGUUAGGGUUUUGAACAAGAUGAUGUCAGUGGUCGGAAUGGUAGUAUCGAACAAAAUGUAGAAAUCGGUGGUGGUGGCCGUCGAUAGGCUCUUCCAUAACAAGCUCUACAAUCGAUACUUCAAAUGCACAUCCAUAUUCAUGGCACACGACGAAACAAAUCAGUGCAAUAUCGGCGAUCGACACGCUUGAGGCGCGAGGUGCACUAAGGCCAGGCCUCAGCGUAAGUUUAUGAGAACGAAGGGGGUAUUAUAAGAUCAUAAGAUUUCAAGGUAUAUGACAAGAUGAGGCUAAUAAGGAUGAGGAGAAUGAAGACAUGGAUGAUAUGACAAGUUACAUUUUAUUUAGCAAAAUGAAUUACUUCUUUUGGUGCCUGAGUGCCCCUUCUCUUCAGUCCUCUCUGCUUCUCGUUGCCGCCCUUUCUUUGCUAGACCGUCACUAGCACAUUAUUUGGUAGUCGCUGCCCCACCGGUGUGUAGUUGAUUACUUGAAGAAGGCGGUUGGGUGCCUGCAGUUCUGGCAUCGUAGAACGCUUAAAACUAAAGUGGAAGGUAGCAUGGAGAGGCCCACUUAGAAGAAUUUCCAAGUUUGAUCAGGGGCCCCGAGGUCGUUGACAAAAAUAAAGAGAUUUCUUCUCGCAACAAAUUCCUUGGCUUGCUGAGUAGACAUGAUGUUUUCUUUAGUUGAGCGAGAUACCAAGGGUUGUCAUUGAUUAACCAAAGUCGACUUAAUUGAAACUGAUUGGUUAUCAUUGAUAAAUAUGAUGACACUGCAACGUAAAUUUUGCUUGCUCUAUGGCUCAAAUCAUUUGGCUAUGAAGACAUUCAUUUUGCAAUUGCGGA
This 852-nucleotide long non-coding RNA is filed under the name Helianthus annuus (common sunflower). RNAcentral describes it as "sRNA HanXRQr2_Chr01g0013621". The record is from RNAcentral. Lineage: Eukaryota; Viridiplantae; Streptophyta; Magnoliopsida; Asterales; Asteraceae.